UUCUAAUCACAAAAUAGGUUUAAUCAAUAUAGUCUUAUAAUCAACGAUAAGCUAAGUCUUAGGAACUUGUGCCCCAGUUUUUCUUCACUGCAGGCCAGGUAUAUUGAGAAUUUUAGUUAGAAUUGUUUUUAGGUGUUUGAAACUGCCUUUUUUGCUGUAGUCUGUUAUCAUCUUAACACUAACUUGUUCACGUUUAUUUGAAUGAUGCCAGACAUUCAUUUAUUGAGCAGUUACUAAGAUAUUGAUCUUGCUUUCCAAGAAUCAAAGACUGGCCAAGAAAAUAACAAAGGCCCACAAAACAAACAAGCAAAGAAACAAAUGAACAGAAAAGCAGCAGCAACAAAACCAUAGUAAAUUUAAUUAAGCCUUAUGAGGCCUUGCAAGAUGGCCUGGUGUGUAAAAGUCUUUCUUCAUAAGCACACUGACCUGAGUUUGAUCCUUAGAAUGCAUGGUGGACGGGAAGAACUGACUUUCCUGGAAAGUUUGUCCUCUGACCACAUAUACACUUUACUGUGUCUGACUCUCCACACCAUGUAUAAGUACACACAAUAUAAUAAUAAAUGAAUAAAUUAAAUGCUUUUCAAGUGUUAGGAGACCUAUGGAGAAUAUGACAUCGAGACAACUAAUGUAGUCCUCCCUUCUGGGAGUGUUAGGCCAGGUAGCCUUGCUGUUGAUUUUGUGCAUGAAGAGAUGUGCAGUGACAGUCUGAUUGGAAGAGAGAUUAAAAAAUGCCUAAAGAACAAUGUGCAGAUCAUUUGGGUGAUUGUGUGAUAAGGACAAGGAAAAAGCUACUGGCUAGCUGAAAAUACAGGGGAUUGACUUCCUUUAGGAAUAAAAUAGUACCAGGGGAGAGCACAAAAGAGCCUGAGACAACAUGUGGCCAUACUGCUAACAACCUUAGUUCUUCAGCAUGGGAUGACAACUGUGUUUUAUACAUGGUGGGAGGUAUUGAAAGUAAGCAAGCAUAGAGCUUGCUAGUUCUGGGUGUCUGUGGUUAGAAUCGUUAAGGCUAGGAAGUGUAGUCUUGAAGCUGAAACAGUGCUUCAGUCUCAACAAAUGGCCUUGUACCUGUAAAAACAGACAUUUGAAAUACCUUUAUGUUUUUAGACCAAGCAAAUUUUCCUCAGAAUAUUUUCAUUUGAAUUUGUGUUACAAUAACACAGUAGCAAUGCAAAACUACUAUGAGUUUACAAAUGCUCUUGUAUGUUACAGAUAUCUUUAAAAAUUCUACAAUAAGGAAUAUGUAUUUGAUUAGGAUUCAUGUUGGGAAUCUAUCAUAAGAGGUUGGUUGCCAAACUUUAGUGUGUCUAAGAAUCUCUAUCGAUGGUUUUGUAUUUCAUAGGGAUGAAGGAAAUGCUUUGAUUUUCACCUUAAAGCAAGGCCUGUGAAUACUUUACUUUUUUCAGAACAGUCUCUCCAAAAUGCUUCUAAUAAAUAAGUCCAAACAAUAAACAAGAUAUAAAUAGUUUAUAGUCUUAAUCUGUCCCCAGGUCUCUUUACAGUUCAUAACAUUGCAAGAUAUUAGAACUUAAUCAAAUUUAAACAACGAAAAAGCCUUUUUGUGGACGUUGGUAUUUUAGCUGGAAGUAUUGUCCUUACCCUUGGUCAUACCUGUCUACCUAAUUAUGUACUGAAGGAAUUAUACUAUGAUAUAUCUCUUCUUGUUCCUGUUACUAUCACUUUCUACUAUUCUAGGUACCAAGGUCAUUCAUCCCUGGACACUUCCUGCUGACUAAGAGGAAGCCAUGUACUAAGCAGAGCAUUGCAGUGUUAAGUGGCCAGUUCAUCUGAGCCACCUCUCCACCAUAAGUCAGGUGUAGUCUCCUAAAAUACUUUCAGCAAGUAUUGUGCUGGAUUUAUGUCCCACUCUGCCAGUUCAUGAGUAAGAAUAAGAUCAACUCCUGUUCUCACCAUCUGUAGUGGUUGAAUCAGGGAGCUCCCACCGACAUUCUGUGUUAGGGAUAC
Molecule: long non-coding RNA, 1965 nt
Filed under: Mus musculus (house mouse)
Lineage: Eukaryota; Metazoa; Chordata; Mammalia; Rodentia; Muridae
Description: long non-coding RNA chrX:69409225-69411190
Source: RNAcentral